CGCCCACUAACCCCUAUACCCACACACAUACCCCCACCCCACACCCACAAAAACACCAACACAACCACCCAACACUACUACCACAAUCACCGACCUACCAUCACCACCACCGCCGCCAUCACCAACACUGCCACAAUUGCCGCCGCCACCACCACCAUCUUCGUUGCCCCCACCCCUACCCUACCACCGCUACCAUUUUUCUAAAAAUGAAAACAGAUAGAAAAAAACACGUCUAAACACAUUUUCUAAUUUUCUAAAACUGAAAAUGAAAAAUGAAUAAGUUUUAACCAAACACGCUUUCUAAAUUUUCCAAUAAAAACGGAAAACGAAAACUGACAAGGGAAAACGAAAAACGGAAAAUGAAAACUGUUUUUCCGUACUAAUGCAACCUUAGUAUUCUAAGAAUUAGAAAACCGGAUUUAAAUAAACAUAAAAUGUACCAUGAAAAAAACAUUAUUAUUAAUCUUUUACAUCUCAUUUAAUCAUUUUAUCCACAUGUUUUUUUUUUUGGGAAAAUUGCAAAAAUGUCUUUAUAUACCGUCUUAAUAAUCGAUUUAGUCACUAUAUAUAUAUUUUUUAUUCAAUUAAGUCUAAAAAACCGGUAACCGUAUUCAAUCUAACUUUUUUAACCGGUCAAUAGGUUAUUCAACUUUCCAAAAUUACACUUUUGGCAUAGAUUUCAAUGUUUAUUACAAAUUCGGUCCAACAUUUACACUAUUGGCCCAUAUUUUGAUUUUUAUUACAAAUUUGGUCUAAAGUUUACCUUUUUGGCCCAAAUUUCAAAAUUUUAUCAUGAAUUCAUCCUAACCUUAGUAUUUUCUUACAACCUUUUUUCUCAAAAAAAAAAAAUGUCGAAUAUGUUUUUUCUUUGUAAAAACAUAUUUACACAAAAAAAACAUAUUUUCACAUAAAAAAUCUAUAUUUUCUAUAUGAUUUUUUUUAAAAAAACUUAUUUGUAUACAAAAUACCUAUUUAUAAAAAUAGGUAUUUAUUAAGUACAUAAAUAUAUACAAAUCCAUUAUUAUUAAAAAAAUAUACAAACAUGUAUUUUACAAAAAAUCUAUACAAACAUCUAUUUUAUUAUAAAUAUAUUUUGUAAAAACAUAUUUAUACGCACCCAAAUAAGUGUUUGUAUACUUUUNNNNNNNNNNNUAAACACAUUUAUAUUUAAAACACGUUUAUAUAUAAAAUUUAUACAAACUUGUAUUUUUUAAAAAUAUAUUCAAACUCAUUUUAUAAACAAAUGUAUACAACAUGCUUAUAUAAAAAGUAUAUAUAUAAACAUGUUUUUGACAAAAAACAUUACUUGAGAAGUAAAUUAUCGACAAUUAAAAUAUCCUUCUAAAUGUAUACUCUAAAUAAUAGAUAUAUAAUCAAUACUAUAAAAUAAUAACUCAUUCAGAAUUCAUUUUGAAUUUUGAUCAUAGAUAAAAAAAUGUGCGUCUUCAAAUAAAAAACAAAAUUUAUUGUCAUACAUUUUUAAUUUUUUUUUUUUUUUACAAUUGACACAACGUUAUAUUUUCGUUUUAAACCCAAAAUAAUCUAUCAAAAUGGGUUAGUUUCCAAGUUAUAAGUUAGCAUCUUCCAAUGCAAAUUAGAUUUCACAGUUAGAGGUUUACUUUUUCAUUACCUUUGUGUCAAAGUUGGGUGUUCAAUUAUACUUGUUAUCGAAUAGAAAUAAUACCGAAAGAAACUAUUCACACCCAUCGUUUAACUUGGGUAAAAUGCUAGUGUGUGUGUGUGUGUGUAUGUAUAUAUAUAUAUAUAUAUAUAUAUAUAUAUAUAUAUAUAUAUAUAUAUAUAUAUAUAUAUAUAUAUAUAUAUAUAUAUAUAUAUAUAUAUAUAUAUAUAUAUAUAUAUAUAUAUAUAUGCACACAUACACACAUUCGAUUUUUUUUUGAGAAAAAAUGUUCUAAGAAAACUAAAGUUAUGAUCAAUUCAUAACAAAAUUCUGAAAUCUAGGCCAAAAGGGUUAAUUUUAGACCAAAUUUGUAAUAAAAUUUAAAAUCUAGGCAAAAAUUACAAAUUUGGACCAAAUUUGUAGUAAAAUUUGAAAUUUGGAUAAAAAGUGUAAUUAUUGAAUGUUGGAUAAACCUUUGACAUGGUAAAAAGGUUAAAUUAAAUACGAUUACCGAUUUUCAGGACUUAAUUGAAUAAAAAAAGACAUAAAGACUAAAUCGAUUAUGAGACCAAUAUGUAAGGAUUUUUUGUAGAGUUUUCAUUUUUUUUAGUUUCAUUAAAUUGUUCAUGAUUUAAGCUUAAUUAAUCAUAAUUAAUACAUUGAUGCUAGUGGUUAAUUUGUUCUUGAAGGCUUAAAUGCUGGCACCAUGUUGAAAGUAACAACAAUUUCUUAAAAGGGGAUAUGUUUUGUUAUUUGAAAUUGUAUGUAAAAUGGAAUAAUAUAAAACAGAAACCGGUAGACAGUUUCAUUCGUUCUUCAUGAUCAUCUGCCUUUAAAACUUUGUUAUUUACUACAUUUUCAACUAUAAUAUUAUAUAUUCAUUUUUUUUAAAGAAUCAUAUUUUAAAAAAUUGUACCCAUUUACAAUAACAGAUUUACCUAAAGUUUUGGACCAAUGUAGGCUAUUAUAGGCUGUGCUAAGCACAAUCAUUGGAGAACAAUAAUGUAACAACUGACAAUGUAACCCAUAGAAAUAAUAAUGUCACUAAGAAACAUUCAAAUGUAACUAACGAUAUAAGGUCACUAAUAAGAAUCGUAAUGCCAAUCACAAUGUUGAUGAGGUAACAAAUGAAAAUGACAAUCCAACUAAUGCGUAUAAUCUAAAUUUUGGUAGUUUGUUAGAACUUUGGUAAUUUAAAGGGGGCCGUUUUCUUGUUUUUGCCNAUAUAUAUAUAUACUUACUGUAUUAAUUUAGUAAUCAACCGUAAUGGCAGCCUCAAUCUCAUCAACUGUAAUGGCAACUUCAAUCACUAUCUAUCUGUAUAAUUGUUUCUAUUGAUGUAUUACCAUUGUCUGCUAUUUGUUUACAAAUUUCUUUAAUUGAUUAUGUAAUUAUGUUGUUCAACGAAAAAAAAUAUAAACAAAUAUCUCAAUUAGAUAGAUUGUAGAGCACAUGGUACUACCUUUGCAACUCCAAUGCUGAAUUUGUUCUCCAAAUGUUUCAACUGCGUACCAAUAAUAUAAAAUAGUAUAAAAUAGAUUGAUAUUUAUUAUUACAAGGAAAUAUGUACCAAAUCAUAGUAAUAUCAUCCAGAUAAAAAAACAGAUUUACACUUACUAUGGUUGGAUAGACUUUUCAAAGUAUAUUAUCCUAAUAAAAAAAUAUAAUUUGAAAAUAUAAUCUACAGAAUUCAUUGAUUAGAAAAAAAUGUAAUCCGCAAAGUAAUGUAAUAGAAAGAAUUAUCUGGUCGGAUGUCGUUCCUUGAGUUCCUAAUCAACCAAGUUAAUAGAACACUUACAGAUUCCAGUGAGACCUUUUGUUCAACAACAAUUAUUUGGUCGGAUGUCGUUGGUCAAAUUCCCUUAAAUUAAUUUAGAGCAUAAAACAUUAGUUGAAGAAGAAUCGUUUGUAAUUUAGACAAUUUUUACAAUGAUAACAUGUGAAAAUCACCUUAAAAUGCUCUCGGUCGUUUUUGGUUUUCAAAUUAGAAACAUAGUUCAAUUUAGCAUGUCAUAAAUUGAAAUCAUUAUGAGAAAGCAAGAGCAAAAUUAAGAUAACUUCAACUUACUUGUCGCAUUGUUUCAGUAAUUCUAGAUAUUUAUGGUAUAACAAGCUCUGCAGAAUGAUUUCAACUUGAAAUAUAAAAUUUUGAAAAUUUUAAAACUUAAGAAAAAGACUAAAACUUUCAUGAUAAAUCUUUAAAUACUUAAUGUGUAUUUGUUACAAAGAACAUGAUUCGAUAGAGGACUACUCUCUAAAGCUAUUUACAAAAACAAGGAUGAGGAGAGCAUUUCUGUCCUUUGCAAACAUGACAUGAAGAACAAAUUUUGUCCCCACCUUUUUGUGUGGCAUAAACAUUUGUAAUUUUUUGUUCAAUUGGCAUCAGUCUAAUAGAUACGAGGCCUUCUGUUAUUUCUUACAUGUCCUACAUAACAAAUCACAAAUCUGACCCAAAAGAACUAAACAUGUAUGUCAUACCCGCAUCUCAUAAACUUUUGUUUGAUAUAUAGUUGGUUGGAUUUCUCUCGUUUGACCCAAUAUUGAGAGCUCAACUAUCCUUUUAGAAAUAUUGGUGGUCGAUUUUGAAAUUAUCUUGUUGUACUGUGCAAAAUAUAAGUUAUUAAUCAGAUUGGAGACAAUUGAGUUUAGAAUUAUAAAACACAUGGGAGUAUGGGCCUACUCUCUCAAUUGUAAGUUCGGAUCCCAUCUAUUCCUCAAACUGCACAUCAAUAUAAAAUUUCAAUCAUCAUAACCAUAAUCAAUGACACUAUUAAUUAUGAUACCAUCUUGUUGCCAUGGUUUAUUAAUGUUAUAUUCAUGUUAAUAUAAACUUGUAUAAUCUUGAUUGAUAUUAAUAUAAUGGUUAAAUGCAUGAAAUAUCAACACUAUUUUGUUAUUUUUUUGUUAUAGAAUUAUGUUUUUGUAUCUGCCUAUCAAAACAUUGUACAUUGAAAUAUGUAUCUAAUUAUAGCAAUAUCAUCCACGGAAAAAAUUAAUUUCCAUCGUUAUAACUAAAUGGACUUUUAAAGUAUUGUGUUCUUGUAAAAAACAAAUGAAAGUAUUAUGCUAUAGUUAUGUAGAAUACUUACAGGUUCCGCCGAGCUUUUAUUUUUAAUAGCAAGUAUCAUGUUUGCUCGCUGAUAUGUAACUCUCUGAAAUAAAUUAUAAUAUAAAGUAUUAGUUGAAGGAGAAUCGUAUGUCUUUGGAUAAUUCUUAGAACUUAAUUUUUACAUGUUAUUAUUGUAAAAAUUAUCCAAUGACAUUCGAUUCUACUUUAACUAAUAUUUUAUGUUGUAUUUUAUUUCAGAGAGUUGCAUCUCGGCGAGUCAACAUGAUACUUGCUAUUAAAAAUAGAAGUUCAGUUGAAUCUGUAAGUAUUGUACCUAACUAUAGCAUAAUACUUUUAUUUGUUUCUUAUUAGAACACUAUACUUUAAAAGUCUAUUUAGUUAUAGCGAUGAAAAUUAAUUUUUCGUGGAUGAUAGUUAUGAUUAGGUACAUAUUUCAAUGUAUAAUGUUUUGAUUGACAAAUAUAAAAACAUAAUGCUAUAACAAAAUGGUGCUGCUAUUUCAUGCAUUUAACCCUUGUAUUAAUAUCAUUCAAGAUUAUACAAGUUUAUAUUAAUAUGAAUAUAACAUUAAUAAACCAUGACAACAAUAUGGUAUCAUGGUUAAUGGUGUCAUUGAAUAUGGUUAUAAUGAUUGGAACAUUAUAUUGAUGUGCAGUUUGAGGAUUUUGUGGGAUCCGAACUUACAAUUGAGAUUGUAGGCCCAUACUCCCAUGUGUUUUAUAAUUCUAAACUUAAUUGUCUCCAAUCUGAAUAAUAGUUCUUUAUAUUUUGUGCAGUACAACGAGAUAAUUUCAAAAUCGACCACCAAUAUUUCUAAAAGGAUUGUUGGGCUCUUAAUUUUGGGUUAAACGAGAGAAAUCCAACCGACUAUAUAUCAAACAAAAGUUUAUGAGAUGCGGGUAUGACAUACAUGUUUAGUUAUUUUGGGUAGAUUUGUGAUUUGUCUUUUAGGACAUGUUAGAACAUAACAGAAGGCCUCAUAUCUACUGGACUUAUGUGAAUUGGACAAAAAAUUGCAAAUGUUUAUGCCACCCAAAAAGGUAGGGACAAAACUUGAUCUUCACCUCAUAUUUGCAAAUGACAAAAAUACCCUCAUAAUCAUUGUUUUUGAAAAUAGUCUUAGAUUGUAGUAAUCUAAUUAAUCAUGUUCUUUAUAACAAAUGCAACUUUAGUAUUGAAAGAUUUAUCAUGAAAGCAUAUUUUAAGAUGGAAUUAUUCUGCAGAGCUUGUUAUACCAUAAAUAUCUGGAAUUACUGAAAACAGGCGACAAGUAAGUUGAAGUUAUCUUAAUUUUGCUCUUGUUUUCUCAUAAUGAUUUCACUUUAUAACAUGCUAAAUUGAACUAUAUUUUAAUUUCAAAACCAGUACCUGGAGCAUGUUAAGGUAAUUUUCAAAUGUUAUCGGUAUAAAAAUUGUCUAAAUUAGACCAACGACAUCCGACCAAAUACUUGCUAUGAAAUAUAGGAUCUCAUUGAAAUAUGUAAAUGCCACCUUAACUUGGUUGAUUAGGAACUCAAGGAACAACUUAUUUUCAACUGUUUUUGUAUUACAACAUUCUACUUCCGUUUCUUUCUAUUAUAUUGUUACGACUUAAAUUUUUUCUUAUUAGGACAAUAUAUUUUGAAAAAUCUAUCGAAUUAUAUCAAGUUGAAAUCUGUUUUUUUUUAUCCGGAUGAUAUUACUAUGAUUCAGUACAUAUUUCACAGUAUGGGUUUGCACGAAUUUAACUUUUGUAAUAAUAUAUCAAUCAAUUUUAUACUAUUUUAUUACUGGUGCUCAGUUGAAGGAUUUUGAGAAGAAAUCAAGUAUUGGAGUUGCAAAGGUAGUACCAUGCGCUCUACGAUUUUAAACUUGAUCAUUUUUAAUCUAAUUGAGAGAUUUGUUUAUAUUUUUUCAGUUGAACAUGAUCAUUUCACAAUCAAUUGAAGAAAUUUGUAAACAGAUAGCGGGCAAGGGUAAUACAUCAAUAGAAAUGACUCAGGGUCAUACAUCAAUGGAAACAAUUGUACCAAUACAUAGUAAUUAAAGUUGCCGUUACAGUUGAGGAAAGUGUAAAGGCAAAGCUGAGGCUCAACAGCUUGAGGAACCAUAGAGCCUGCAGGUAGAAGAAAUGUGAAUGGAAGAAAAUCUGUCAUGCUACCUAAAGUAACUGAAGUGGUUCUUCCUCUUGAAGAACCUGUGAACAUUCAUAAAAGGUUCAUAAAAGGACACAAGGCAAAAAUCUGUCGUGCAAAAAGCUAGGGGAAAGAAAGCAAGAAACCUUCUGUUGAAAAGAAAGAAAUAGUAAAAGAAACUAAGAUCCCUGGAUCUCCUACUUGUAAGACUGUUGCGAAAAAGCAAACAAAAGUUGCUUCUAAAAAUGAAACCAAUUAAUGCGUAUGAUCUAAAUUUUGGUAGUUUAUUAGAACUUUGGUAGUCUAAAUGGGGAGAGUUUUCUUGUUUUUGCCACGGGUCUAGAGUAUUUUUGAAUCGGCCCUAAUUAUAAGUAAAGAUUUAAUGAUGGUCCUAUAUAUACUGCAUUAAUUCACUAAUUAACCGUAAUGGCAACCUUAAUCUCUUCAACUGUAAUGACAACUUUUAUCACUAUCUAUAUGUACAAUUGUUUCCAUUGAUGUAUGACCGUCCGUCACUUCUAUUGAUGUAUUACCCCUGUUUGCUAUCUGUUUACAAAUUUCUUCAAUUGAUUAUGAAAUUAUCAUGUUCAACUGAAAAAUAUAAACAAAUCUCUCGAUUAGAUUAAAAAUGAUGAAAUUUAAAAUUGUAGAGCACAUGGUACUACCUUUGCAACUCCAAUGUUGAAUUUCUUCUCCAAAUCUUUCAACUGCGCACCAGUAAUAUAAAAUAAUAUAAAAUUGAUUGAUAUUUAAUAUAUUAUUACAAGGGUUAAAUGCAUGAAAACCCAUGCUGUGAAAUAUAUACCGAAUCAUAGUAAUAUCAUCCAGAUAAAAAACAUAUUUACACUAACUAUAAUUGGAUAGACUUUUCAAAGUAUAGUAUCUUAAUAAGGAAAAAAAUAAUUUGAAAAUAUAAUGCUACAUAAUUCCUUUAUUAGAAAAAAUGUAAGUCACAAUAAUGUAAUAGAAAGAAACAGAAGUAGGAUGCUGUAAUACAAAAACAGUUGCAAAUAAGUUGUUCAUUGAGUUCCUAAUCAACCAAGUUAAGGCAUCACUUACAGAUUUUAGUGAGUUUCUAUAUUUAACAGCAUGUAUCUGGUCGGAUGUCGUUGGUCCAAUUCCCUUAAAUUAAUUUAGAGCAUAAAACAUUAGUUGAAGGAUAAUCGUUUGCCAUUUAGAUAAUUUUUACAAUGAUAACAUGUGAAAAUUACCUUAACAUGCUCCAGGUCUUUUUUGGUUUUGAAAUUAGAAACAUAGCUCAAUUUAGCAUGUCAUAAAUUGAAAUCAUUAUGAGAAAACAAGAGUAAAAUUAAGAUAACUUGAACUUACUUGUCGCAUGCUUUCAGUAAUUUCAGAUAUUUUCGACAUCUGGGCAGUUAAUAGCGCCGAGAUCGCGGUGUGAUAACGUUUCUCGGGUGUUUGCAAAAUCCCUGUUUCAAAUAGCGUUCUGAAAUAUCGGAGCCGAAAUUAUCACCUAUAUCGGCCGUUAUUUCACCGAUAUUUCAAUACCUGUAUCCCGAUUUUUUCCCGCUGUUUGAUUUUUUUGGUCUGUUUAUACAUAUUUAUAAAAAAAGUACUUUGAUAUAGAUUAGCCGACAACUUGUAAUGUUAUAAUGCCAAUCACCUUUCGUCAGAACUCGGAAGAAACCGGAUGGAAAGAAGUUGAAACAAAUAAAGAUAUAAAGACUCGGUUAAUUUGUAAUUAAACCUCGGUUAAUGUAUCUAAUUUGUAAUUGUAAUCAAACCUCUGUUAUGCAUUUAAUUUGUAAAUCUUUUUGUGUACCGGGUUAUAGUUUUAACUUGUAAACAGGUUAGUUUUUGUGAUAUAUAUAUAUAUNNNNNNNNNNNNNNNNNNNNNNNNNNNNNNNNNNNNNNNNNNNNNNNNNNNNNNNNNNNNNNNNNNNNNNNNNNNNNNNNNNNNNNNNNNNNNNNNNNNNNNNNNNNNNNNNNNNNNNNNNNNNNNNNNNNNNNNNNNNNNNNNNNNNNNNNNNNNNNNNNNNNNNNNNNNNNNNNNNNNNNNNNNNNNNNNNNNNNNNNNNNNNNNNNNNNNNNNNNNNNNNNNNNNNNNNNNNNNNNNNNNNNNNNNNNNNNNNNNNNNNNNNNNNNNNNNNNNNNNNNAUAUAUAAAACCGCAAUCCCACCACAAGAACUGUUAUUUUAAAUAACUGCAAGUGACCGCAAUAAGAUUUUAGACUGCGAUAACUGCAUAGUCCGACAUAACAAGCUCUGCAGAAAGAUUCUAACUUCAAACAUAAAUUUUUGAAAUUUUAAAAACUUAAGAAAAAGACUAAAGCUUUCAUGAUAGAUUUUUCAAUUCUAAAGUUGUAUUUGUUACAAAGAACAUGAUUAGAUAGAGGACUACCCUCUAAGGCUAUUUUCAAAAACAUCAGUCCAACAGAUACGAGACCUUCUGUUAUUUUUAACAAUGUCCUACAUAACAAAUCACAAAUCUGACCCAAAAGAACUAAACAUGUAUGUCAUACCCGCAUCUCAUAAACUUUUGUUUGAUAUAUAGUUUGUUGGAUUUCUCUCGUUUGACCCAAAAUUGAGAGCUCAACUAUCCUUUUAAAAAUAUUGGUGGUCAAUUUUAAAAUUAUCUCGUUGUACUGUGCAAAAUAUAAAGAACUAUUAAUCAGAUUUGAGACAAUUGAGUUUAGAAUUAUAAAACACAUGGGAGUAUGGGCCUACUCUCUCAAUUGUAAGUUCGGAUCCCAUCAAUACCUCAAACUGCACAUCAAUAUAAAAUUUCAAUCAUCAUCCACGGAAAAAAUUAAUUUCCAUCGUUAUAACUAAAUGUACUUUUAAAGUAUUGUGUUCUUGUAAAAAACAAAUGAAAGUAUUAUGCUAUAGUUAUGUAGAAUACUUACAGGUUCCGCUGAGCUUUUAUUUUUAAUAACAAGUAUCAUGUUUGCUCGCCGAUAUGUAACUCUCUGAAAUAAAUUAUAAUAUAAAGUAUUAGUUGAAGGAGAAUUGUAUGUCUUUGGAUAAUUCUUACGAUAAUAACAUCUGAAAAUAACUUUAAUUGCUUCAUGGUAUUCCUGCUUUUGAAAUUAGAAACAUACUACAGUUUAACAUGUCAUACAUUGAAACCAUUAUAAAAAAUCAAUAGCAAAAUGAAGACAACUUCAACUUGUUCCCGGUUUUCAGUAAAUCCAGGUAUAUUUUGCAUAGUGAGUUCUGCAAAAGGAUUUCAUUUUAAGUAACUUGAAAUAUGAAAUUUUAAGAAAAAUAUGUAAACUUGUCAUGAUAAAUAAAUAUCAAGGUUUCAUUUGGUACAAGGAACAUGAUUGGACCAUGAACUACAUCGGAAAGGACCGGACAAGAUCUCUAGGGACUACAUCCGCAAAUUGUUUUUUUUAUGACUGUGGGAAAGAGUAAUGAAUGAUGAUACAAAAUUGUGCAACACAUUCCAUUCUUUAUUGUAUUUUUUUCAAAAUUGGCGAGGGCUUGCUACUUCCUUGUCCCAUGUCAUCUUCAUCGUAGUCAUCAAGUUCCACUACCUUAGAAGGUUCGGGUGUACCAUAUCUCCUACCCGGAUCCAUUGCAUCAUCAAUGCCUGCAAUAGCUUUGUUGAUGACUACAAUGAAGAUAACAUGGGACAAGGAAGUAGCAAGCCCUCGCCAAUUUUGAAAAAAUACAAGAAAAAAUGGAAUCUGUUGCACAAUUUUGCAACAUCAUUCAUUACUCUUUCUCAAAUUCAUAAAAAAAACAAUUUGGGGAUGAUGGUACGUCUACGGAAUGGAACAAUACCAAGUAGUCAAAGGAUGUUGCAGGGAAGAGGCUAACAUCAACUUUUUUGCAAGAAAGGUUUUGGAGAAAUAUAGUGUAUACUUUAAAGUUGACUUGGGUGUGCAGAACUCGCUAACAUUACACAAUAUUUAUCCCUCCCAAAAAGUGGGACAAAACUCGCUCUUGAUCUUGGGUGUGCAAAGGACAUAAAUGUCCUCUUCGUCCUCAUUUUUUUUUAAAUAUCCCUAGAGAUCUUGCCCGAUUCUUUCCGAUAUGGUCCAUUGUCCAAUCAUGUUCCUUGUAACAAACGAAACCUUGACAUGUAUUUAUCAUGACAGUUUUUGUCUUUUUCUCAAGAUUUCAUAUUUCAAGUUAAAUAAAAUAUAAUCCUUUUGCAAAACUUGCUACACAAUUUAUACUUGGACUUACUGAAAACCGGGAACAAGUGGAAGUUGUCUUAAUUUUGCUAUUGAUUUUUUAUAAUGGUUUCAAUGUAUGACAUGCUAAGCUGUAAUAUGUUUCUAAUUUCAAAACCAGGAAUAACCUGAAGCAAUUGAAGAUAAUUCACAUGUUAUUAUUGUAAGAAUUAUCCAAAGAAAUAUGAUUCUCCAUUAACUAAUACUUUAUGUUGUAAUUUAUUUCAGAAAGUUGCAUCUCGGCGAACCAACAAGAUAUUUGCUAUUAAAAAUAGAAGUUUAGCGGAAUCUGUAAGUAUUGUAGCUAACUAUAGCAUAAUACUUUCAUUUGUUUUUUUUAGAACAGUAUUCUUUAAAAGUCCAUUUAAUUAUAGCGAUGGAAAUUAAUUUUUUCUGUUGAUGAUAUUGCUAUAAUUAGGUACAUAUUUCAAUGUACAAUGUUUUGAUAGACAGAUACAAAAACAUAAUGUUAUAACAAAAAAAUUAACAAAAGGGUGCUGUUAUUUUAUGCCUUUAACCCUUAUAUUAAUAUAAGUCAAAAUUAUACUUGUUUAUAUUAACAAAAAUAUAACAUUAAUAAACCAUGGCAACAAGAUGAUAUCGUGGUUAAUGAUGUCAAUGAUUAUUGUUAUAAUGACUGAAAUUUUAUAUUGAUGUGCAGUUUGAGGAUUUGGUGGGAUCCGAACUUACAAUUGAGAGAGUAGGCUCAUACUCCCAUGUGUUUUAUAAUUCUAAACUCAAUUGUCUCCAAUCUGAUUAAUACUUCUUUAUAUUUUGUGCAAUACACCGAGAUAAUUUCAAAAUCGACUACCAAUAUUUUCAAAAGGAUAGUUGAGUUCUCAAUUAAGUUUUUGAGAUACCAGUAUGACAUACAUGUUUAGUUCUUUUGGGUAGAUUUGUGAUUUGUUAUAUAGGACAUAAUAGAAGGCCUCGUAUCUAUUGGACUGAUGUCAACUGGACAAAAAAUUGCAAAUGUUUAUGCUACCCAAAAAGGUGGGGACAAAACUUGAUCUUCAUCUCAUAUUUGCAACGAUAGAAAUGCCCUCCUCAUCUUUGUUUUUGAAAAAUAGCCUUAGACAGUAGUCCUUUAUUUAAUCAUGUUCUUUGUAACAAAUGCAACUUUAGUAUUGAAAGAUUUAUCAUGAAAGUUUUAGUCUUUUGCUUAAGCUUUCAAAAAUUCAUAUUUUAAAUUGGAAUCAUUUUGUAGAGCUUGUUAUACCGGAAAUAACUGGAAUUACUGAAAACAGGCGAUUAGUAAGUUGAAGUUAUCUUAAUUUUGCUAUUCCUUUCUCAUAAUGAUUUCAAUUUAUAACAUGUUGUAUUGAACCAUGAUUCUAAUUUCAAAACCAGGCAUGACCUGGAGCAGUUUAAGGUAAUUUUCAAAUGUUAUCAUUGUAAAAAUUGUCUAAAUUGCAAACGAUUAUCCUUCAACUAAUGUUUUAUGCUCUAAAUUAAUUUAAGGGAAUUGGACCAACGACAUCCGACCAGAUAAAUGCUGUUGAACAUAGAAACUCAUUGAAAUCUGUAAGUGGUGUCUUAACUUGGUUUAUUAGGAACUCAAGGAACAACUUAUUUUCAACUGUUUUUGUAUUACAGCAUCCUACUUCCGUUUCUAUUACAUUACUGUGAAUUACAUUUUUUCUAAUCAAGGAAUUCUGUAGAAUUAUAUUUUCAAAUUUUUUUUCUUAUUAGGACAAUAUACUUUGAAAAGUCUAUCUAAUUAUAUCAAGUGUAAAUCUGUUUUUUAUCUGGAUUGUCAUUUUUAUUUGUUACUUUAUCAACAUUGUGAUUGAUAUUACGAUUUGUAUUAGUGACCACAUCCUCGUUUGUUACAUUUGCAUGUCCCUUAGUGACAUUAUCAUUCCCAUGAGUUACAUUGUCACUUGUUAAAUUAUUGUUCUCCAAUGGUUGUGCUUAGCAUAGCCCACGAUAGCCCAGAUUGGUCCAAAACUAUAGGUGAAGUUGUUAUUAUAAAUGGAUAUAAUUUUUUCAAGUAUGAUUCUUUAACAAGAAAAGAAAAUGAAUAUACAAUAUUAUAGUUGAAAAAAUGUAGUAAAUAAUAAAGUUUCAAAGACAGAUAAUCAUGAACAACGAAUGAAACUAUCUAUCGGUUUCUGUUUUAUAUCAAUCCAUUUUACAUACUAUUUCAGAUAAUCAAACAUAUCUCCUUGCAAGAAAUUGUUGUUACUUUCAAUAUAGUGCCAGCAUUUAAGCGUUCAAGAAUAAAUUGAGAACUAGCAACAGUGUAUGAAUUAUGAUUAAUUAAGCUUAAAUAAUGAACAAUUUAAUUAAACUAAAAAAAACCAUGUAGAUAGAAUGAUUUAAAAGCAUUCAGUGAUGUAAGAAUUUGCUUGCUAAUUAUAAACCUCAAUGAGAAAUUGGGGCGUGGGAGAUCAAAGAAAAUAAGUGAAGAGAAAAUUGCUGAAGUUCCUGAAACUCAAGAUAAUGCUAACAAGGGUACAAGGCAAUCAAAGAGAAACAAGACACCAGUUGAAGCGUCUACAGUUGUGAAUCAAAAAGUAAGCAAAGUGGAAUCUGUUAAUGAAAAGAAAGUUACAAGGUCCAAGACUCCUAUUGCAAAGAAAUCUUCUGGAGGAAAGGGUAAAAGCAAAGCUCAGGCUCAACAGCUUGAGGAACCAUCUGAGCCUGCAGGUAGAAAAAAUGUAAAUGGAAGAAAAUCCGUCAUGCAGUCUAAAGUAACCGAAGUGGUUCUUCCGUUUGAAGAACCUAUGAACAUUCCUAAAAGGACACAAGGCGAAAAUCUGUCGUGCAAAAAGCUCAGGGGAAAGAAAGCAAGAAACCUUCUGUUGAAAAGAAAGAAAUAGUAAAAUAAACUGAGAUGCCUAGAUCUCCUACUUGUAAGACUGUUGCGAAAAAGCAAACAAAAGAUGCUUCUGAAAAAGAAAUCAAAGCAGUUGCCUGGAUCUCCCUUUGACUCGUUCUUUCUUUUGAUAUCAUUAGAGAUGUUUCCUCUUAGAAAACGUUAUUUGCAUCACCAGCCAAAACUAGAAUAAGUCGUGUGAAUGACCCUCGGGAAAAUUCUGUCAGUGUUGCCUUGCCUGAUAAAGGUAGUGGGAGUUCUUCAUUAAUUGAUUGAAUAAUUUGAAUUUAACAGACUGUUGGCUUGUUUUUUUAUUAUGAUAUCAUUCUAUAGAUGACACAGAGCACAAAAUCCAGAUUCAACUCUGAGAGCUUUAUUUAAAACACUAGUCACAACUCACAACUCAAAUCAGUAAUGUACAAGGAGGGAUGAGCACUUUACCUAUUUGAUCAAAUAAUUAGAGUUUUAAAAACCCUUUGGCUCAUUCUUUCUUUUGAUAUUAUUUGUAGAUUAUUCUUCUCUGAAAAUGUUAUUUGCAACACCUGCCACUACUCAAAUCAGUCGUGUGAAUGACCCCCAGGAAAAUUCUGUUAGUCUUGCCCUGCCUGAUGAAGGUAGUGGGAGUUCUUCAUUUUUUUGAUUGAAUAAUUUGAAUUCUACAGAAUGUUGACUCGUUUUUUUUUUCUUUUUAUUAUGAUAUGAUUUUAUAGAUGAGAAUGCAACACCAAAUGCAACAUUUUCGCUGAAUGCGUUAUUUACAACACCUGCCACAACCCGAGUCAGAUAUGUAGAAGAUCAUCAGGAAGAAGGUAAUGCAAGUUCUUCACCUCUUUGAUCAGAUAACUUGAAUAUUUAUGAUUCUGACUUAAUUCUUUUUUAUGUUGCUGUUUUAUAGAUCACACAGAAAGUAAUGCAACACAAAAUUCAGACCUGUCUCUGAAAGCCUUUUUUGCAACACCUGUCAUAACUCGAGUCAAUCAUGUUGAAGACAAUCAACAGAGUAUAGAUGACACCAUUACAACACAAGGUCCAAUUUCAUCUAUCAAAGUGUCAAUGAAUACACCUGCUACAACUCAAAUCAGUCAUGGCAAACAUCUUUAGGAGAAUACAAUCAAAUUUGCCUUUCCUGACGAUCUUCAGGAGAAAACAGUCGAAUAUGCCCUUCCCAUUGAAGGUAGUCAAAGUUAAAUUCCUACUUUGUUUGAUUUUAGAAUUUUUUUGACUCAUUCUUUCUUUUUAUAUAUAGAUGACACGGAAGGCAAUGCACCACAAAAUCCAGAUUUGUCUGUGAAAACAUUUGCAACACCAGCCACAACUUGGGCCAGUCAUGUAGAAAACUAUUAGCAGAAUACAGUAAAAUUUACCCUUCCUUCUGAAGGUAGUGCAUUUUGUUCACCUGCUGAUUGAGUAAAUUGCAUUAAAGAGACUUUUGGCUUCUUUUUUUUUUUCUUUUGAUCCUGUUCUGUAGAUGACACAAAAGGCAAUGCAACACUAAGUCAAGAAUCAUCUCUGAAAUUGUCAUCUGCAACACCUGCAACAACACAAAAUCAAGAUUUGUCUAUGAGAACGUUGUUUGCAACACAAUCCAUAACUCGAGUCAGCCAUGUAAAAGAACAUGAGCAGAGUACAGUCAGAUUUGAUCUUCCCAUAGAAGGUAGUGCAAGUUCCUCACCUAUUAGUUCGAUUUUAAAAGACUUCGGGUUCCUAAUUUCAUAUGUUAUCAUUUUGUAGAUGACAUGGAACACAAUGCAACUGAAUAUAUAUAUAUANNNNNNNNNNNNNNNNNNNNNNNNNNNNNNNNNNNNNNNNNNNNNNNNNNNNNNNNNNNNNNNNNNNNNNNNNUAUAUAUAUAUGGAUCAAAAUGACAAUGAAGAUUAAAACAUGAACCAAAUAAGUACAAAAAAUUAAGAAGGUUAGAUUUUUGCUGGAUUUUGGUGGGACUUACAUCGGUAUCUGGAUGAGACUGAUGGCUUGAGUUUAUGAAAAAGGACAUGCAAAUCAACUUUAUUUUAUUAUAUGAUCGGGCAAUAAACCUAACAAUGACGAUAAUAUUAUUGUUUAUUAUCAUGAUUUCACAUAUAAAAUUUAUGCUUAUUCUAAAUUAGAACAAUAAAUUUUCAUGUGAGGAGAUAGACGGUCAGAAGUAUGCAACAUAAGCAACAAAUGGAGUGGAAGUCAAAGGAUAAACAAAUUGGGGUGGCCCACUUGGCUAACAUGAAUGAUUCUAAUCUAACAACUAACUAGGUAAGCCCAGACAUAAGAUAUUUAAUUAUUUGUCGUUUAAAAAAAAGGAUAAACAGCUGAAUUAAUGUAUGAAAACCUCUCCAUAGGCAUCAAAUUUACACUAUAAUCGUAUCAUGUUGAACAAUAUCUAAUCAACAUGAUCUCAUUCAAACCAAAUCACACAAAAGAAAGUCAUAAUAUAGUUUUGUAACAAACUCGCAUGAUCUCAAUUAAAACUUGAACCAAAUAUGUAGAAAAAAAAUUGGGAUGAAUGGAUUUUUGUUGGAUUUGGGGAGACUUUUAUUAGUAUCCGGGCGGAAUAGAAUCAUAGAUGACUAACUAGAGUUUAAAAAAAAGAUAUAAACAAAUCAACUUUAUUUUAAUAUAUGAUCGGGCAAUAAACCUAACCACAACAUUAAUAAAACAACUAAUUUAAAGAAAAUAUUUUUCCUAGCAUUUUUAAAUAAGUUGAUUUUUUUUCUCUCUAUAUGUACGAUAUAUUCUAGGAAUUUUGGGCCACCUUAGAGACAUGGGUCCUGGGCGACCUCCCGGGUUGCCCACUGUUUGGACUGGGCCUGAUUUCAUAUAUAAAAUGUAACGACCCAAAAAUUAAGGGUAAAAUUUUCAUUUUUCAUAUAGCUAAAACAUUGAUAUCAUUUAUUUCAAACACUUCAAAUCAUCAUUAAGUAAAAUAUUUAUCAGAGUUUAUCCCAAAAUCAUUCAUUGCGGAAAUCAUAGGUGUGUGCGCUGCGAUCAAUCCGAACCCUUCUUUUCCAAAUCGAUGAUACCUGAAACCAUAAACAAAACUGUAAACACGAAGCUUAAUGAGUUCCCCAGAGCAUACCCCACACAAUCCACAUAACUACAUAAUCCAUAUCGGCUAUAAAAGCUACAUAAACCAUAACAAUCGCAUAAGCAUGCUUAUACACAUAUAAAGAUACCAUGGAAACCCCCAAGGUCUUAUUCACAUACUCACAUAAAUCAUAUCAACUACACAAGCCAUCCAUAUAAACAUAUAAGGAAGCCAUGGAAACCCUCCAAGGUCUUACACCGGGUGCCACUGGAACCCCCACGUGGUCUUAGCCCACUGCCAUAGGAACCCCCAAAUGGUCUUAACCAUGAAAGCCAUGGGAACCCCCACAUGGUCUUAUAUCCAACUGCCUCGGGAACCCCGGGGUCUUCCAUACCAAUAUCAUAUCAACAUAACACAUAAUCAAUUAACACAUAUACAAACCCUAUAAGCCAUAUAUACAACAUAUAAAGGUGUCAUGGAAACCCUCCAUGGUCUUACACCGGGUGCCAUGGGCACCCCUACAUGGUCUUAGCCUGGAAUGCCAUGGGAACCCACACAUGGUCUUCCAUGCAAGCAACACAGAGUGAACUAGCACAUCGCAUAUCACAAAAUAUCUAUCAUACCACAUAUCACAUAAUAGCUAGCAUACCACAUAACACAUAUAACUAAUUGCCAUGGGAACCCCCACAUGGUCUUAGUCUACUGCCUUGGAAAACCCCCCGAGGUCUUCCACAUAAUCAACUAGCAUAUCGCAUAUCAUAAAAUGGGCCGGCCUUGGUGCCUUAAACCCAUUAGUAUGGUGAGGAGACUCACCUCGCACUGCUGAAGUCCCGCAGACAAAACUCUAGCUGCUGGAUGACAGAUUCCCGAACUGUCAAUCAUCAAAAUAACACCAAAUUAGUAAUUAGUUCUAAUGCAUAACCAUAACUCCAUACUUGGGGUAAAAUACUACUUUACCCUAACUUAUCUUUAUUCAAUCCAAGGCCCAAUCCAAAGGCCCAAAAAUUAAACCAUGGACCAAAGCCCAACAUAUGCCCAAACCUCUAUAUGGGCUUACCUUAAGGCCUAACCAUGUAGUCCAGUCCAACCACUGGGCAUUCUGAUGGCCCAAUAGCUAAUAGUCCUCAAAGCCUCCAAAUUGGUCUCAAGCCUCUCUAAUGGGUCUCUUAUCCUAAGGCCCAAUAAUUUCCUUAAUCCAUAAUAUGUUCCCAAUUGGCCCACAAAGGCCCACAACAACCCAGUCUUAUAUUCAACUGCCUCGGGAACCCCCCGAGGUCUUCCAUGCCAGCAACACAGAGUCAACUAGCACAUCGCAUAUCACAGAAAUAUCUAACAUACCACAUAUCACAUAAUAGCUAGCAUACCACAUAACACAUAUAACUAAUUGCCAUUGGAACCCCCACAUGGUCUUAGUCUACUGCUUCGGGAACCCCCCGAGGUCUUCCACAUAAUCAGCUAGCAUAUCGCAUAUCAUAAAAUGGGUCGGCAUUGGUGCCUUAGACCCAUUGGUAUGGUGAGGAGACUCACCUCGCACUGCUGAAGUCCCGCAGACAAAACUCUAGCUGCUGGAUGAUAAAUUCUCGAACUGUCAAUAAUCAAAAUCACACCCAAUCAGUAAUUGGGUUCCAAUGCAUAACCACAACUCCAUACUUGGGGUAAAAUACUACUUUACCCUAACUUAGCUUUAUUCAUUCCAAGGCCCAAUCCAAAGGCCCAAAAGUUAAACCAUGGACCAAAGCCCAACAUAUGGCCAAAUUUUCCAAAUUUUAAGGUCCAACCAUGUAGUCCAGUCCAACCACUGGGCAUUCUGAUGACCCAAUAGCUAAUAGUCCUCAAGGCCCAAUUAUGGCCCACUUGUGGCCCAAUUUUCCAAAUUGGUCUCAAGCCUCUCUAAUGGGUCUUAUCCUAAGGCCCAAUAAUUUCCUUAGUCCACAAUAUGUUCCCAAUUGGCCUACAAAGUCCCACAGCAGCUUAUUCCAAUAAAUGGCCAAAUAAGAACCCAAACCCAAUUAGGGUUUUACACAUAAAAUGACGAUUAGGUUUAAGUGUUCCUACUUAACCCAUUAAGGACUUAAUCCAUUAAGUCCAAACAUAUAAUGAAAUCGGGCUUGAGUCACAACUUCACUCCAAUGGUCCAAAAUGCGGGUCCCGAUAAGUCCAAACCAAAUAAUUCCAAUAUUAGGGUUUUCUAAACCCUAAUUAGGGUUUCCAACCCAAUCAUAGCCCAAUAGGCCCAAAACUAAGUCCUUAGAUCAAUUAGGAUUUUAUUAGGCCCAUUAUGGUUUCAUUAGUUAGGCAACACCCACUACCACCUCGGGUAGUGGUGGUCAACGGCGGCUCACGGCGGCGGCUACCACCUCACGGUGGUGGUUACGAGUUUCUUUUAUUAUUCUAGCAUCAGUUACAAUAUUACAAAGCAAAAACCCAAUUAACUCACACAUACACUAACACAAACACACACACGCACACGCCACGUGUAUCGUCGGCGGUCCUCAACUUCGAGUCCAUGAUGCAGCAGCGGAGGCGAUGGCUGCCGGGCUUGAUGAUGCAAACGGCGGCUGAGGAGGGCUCAUAUGGUGGCGGCAGCGACCGGAGGUGAAGAAGGAGGUGGCGGCUAAUGGUGUUCCAAUUAGGGUUAGGGUUUGUAUGGGUUAUAUACCCAGCCAUAGGAAACUUUACCCUAUAAUGAUAGAUAUGUCCCCUCCCCCAUAAGAAUCUUUCCAAAUGAGUCCUUAAUUUACCGUUUUAGCCCUCAACAUUAAAAUCCAUUACAAUUUAGGUACAAUAUUUACCAAUUACACCCCUGAUUCCAUAAUUCCUCUCAAAUUCGAUCCCUAAUUUACCAAACAACCCAUGUCUUCUAAAAAUCUUUACAAAAUAAAUCCAAAAAUUUCACUGUAACCCCCGAAUAAUCCAAUUUGUAACAUUUGGCUCCCCAAAACCAACACCCCACUAAAUAAUAUGGAUUUAGGGCGACGAUUCGUUCAUCAAUUUUUAUCUAUCUAUUUAUUUAAUAAACAGGAUGUUACAUAAAAUUUAUGCUUUUUCUAAUUUAGAACAAUAAAUUUCCAUGUAAGGAGAUAGACAAUCAAUAGACAAUCAGAAAUAUGUAAUAUGCAACAAACGGAAUGGAAGUCAAAUGUAUAAAAAGCUCUCCAUUGGCUUCAAACUACGCUAUUAACCAUACCAUGUAGUAUGAUAAAUACUUCUGUGAUAUGAUAUGCUAAGUUGAUUAUAUAUGUUAUUGCAUGGAAGACCCUGGGGAGAGCCCGUGACAGUUAGAUAUAAGACCAUGAGGGGGAGCCCAUGGCAUUCCUAGGUAAAGACCAUGGGGGGAGCCUAUGACAUGAAGGUAUAAGACCCUGGGGGAGCCCACGACAUCCUUAUAUGUUAGUAUGCAUGGCUUAUGUGGUAUAUGUAGCUUUUAUAGCUAAUAUGAUAUGUGUUAUGUGGAUUGUGUGUGGGGUAUGCUCUGGGGGACUCACUAAGCAUUAGCUUACAGUUUGUGGAUUUGUUUCAGGUACAUCGGAGCCCAAGGGCAAGGGAAAGGCUUGAUGGCGCGGCGUGCACUCUCUCAGGCAUUUUAUGGGACACUCUGAUGUUUUGAAAUAAAAGUUGUAAUUGAUAUGAGUUUUGAAAACAAUUAUAUUUGGAUUUCGUGUUUUAUGGAGAUGUGUUUGGUUAAUCAAAAAUGAAAAAUUUCUUUGAAAAAUUGCGUCGUUACAAGUUGGUAUCAGAGCCUUGGUUUGAGGGAUUCGGGCACACUCUCGGGUGUGUCAGGACUCAAACUAAGGAAGUGGUAAAAUUGUUUUCAAAAAAAUAAAAUAAAAGUUAAAGCUUUUAAAGAAUGGAAAAGAUGAGAGUGCAACACGCGUGAUCAGCCGAGCCAAGUAAGUAGUUCCCCAAUAUGUUAGCCAUGUUAUACUGAUAUUUGAGCUUUGCUAAUCGUAUGAAACUUGCUAUGUGUAUGCUUUUAAAAUUAUAUACUGAUAGGAGCUUAUAGCCUUAGAAUGAUUGAUUUGGCCUUAUUUCCUGUUCCUUGUCUGGUUGUGGUCCUAGGGUAGAAUCUUUUAUUUGAAAGUCUAUUUGAUCAUUUUCUGUGUAUAAUUUGCAUGCAUAAAGGCAAUUGGAUAUGAUUGGUAUGGGUAGAGAAAAUCUUAAGACAACCUAGGAUUUGAGCUAUGUGGUAGUCUGUGGGAUAUGAUUUAUUUUGGGUCGAAUUGAAGUUAUCAGGUAGAGCAUUGGGAAAGGUACAGGUAGGUGUGGAAGGUAGCAUUGAGCCCGUACUGCUGAAAGCACAUGACCUGUACCCGAACCAAUGUUAAAUUUGACAACUCCAUGGAGGACCGGUGUGGGAAUAUCCCAAAUAUGGAUAUCCUAAUCGUUAUGAUUUAUGACAUUUCAGUUCAGCAUGGUGGUGACACGAUCUGGAGCAGGGGGAUCAGGAUCGGGAUCUAGAUCUGGGGCUGGAUCAGGCGACACUACCGAGGUAAUUGACGAGAGGUUGUGUGAGCUUAUUGCAGCCGAGGUUACGAGGGGCAUCCUUGAUGCUACUCCAGUUAUCUUUGGGACGGUCAAGGAGGGUAUGAUGGAGAUUAUGGAGGAAAGGCUCAGGUCAUUCAGAGUCGAGAUUGAUGCAGGCCAGGUUAGGGCCCGAACUCCCUCGUUCCGGGAGUUCAAUGCAUGUGGGGAGCCAGAGUUCUUCGGGGUCAGGGACCCCAUUGUUAGCCGACGUUGGGUGGUGGAUAUCGAGAACGCCCAACGCACGAGUUCUUCCCCGGAUGCGAUAAAGGUGGGUUUUGCUUCGUGCAUGCUGAGAGAGAGAGAGAGAGAGCCCAAGACUGGUGGGGCGAGGUGACUAGUCAGGUGGGAGCAGCCGAUGUGGCUGAGAUGACAUGGGCCGAGUUUGUCCGAUGAUUUGACUUAGAUUUUGCACCAGCUGUUGAGGUGCAACAGAUGGUGAGGGAGUUCCAGGAGCUCCAGCAGACCACCAAGACUGUGGCGGAGAUCACCGCCAAGUUUCGGGAGCGAGCAUUGUUGAUCCCACAGUAUGCUAUCAAUGAGGACAUGCGGAUGACGAGAUAUCAUUCCAUGCUGAGGGAUGAUAUCCGGGAGUUUGUGAGCUUUACAGGGUGCAAAACCCUGAAUGAGAUGGUAGAUAAGGCCCGGGAACAGGAGAUGGAGUUGGACUUCCGCACCAAGCGGAAUUCGGAGCAGGCACAGGCAGCGAUGGGUCAGGCUAAGAAGCCGAAGACAUCAGACACUUCCAGCAGGGGCUAGCAGGGUCGGGGCCGGUGUGCCAGGUGCGGUAAAUCGCAUAAUGGGGCUUAUCGGAAAGCAGGCUUUGGAUGUUACUCUUGUGGCCAGCAGGGUCAUUUGAGCAUGGAUUGCCCCAAUAAGAGUUUGAUAUGUUUCUACCGCAACCAGAAUGGCCAUAAAAAGGCCGAUUGUCCAAGGUUGCAGGGAGGGGGUGGAGCAGUGGCGGCGCCCGCGCCCGCCACGAUGAGGAUUAUUGAUAGCCGCCCUGCUAAGGCGGAUGCUCCAGUGGUGAAGAGCCGUGUAUUUCAGUUGAGUACCGAGGAGGCUCGGGUAGCGCCAGACUUUGUGGUUGGUACGUGUUUAUUCUACUCCGCUCUAUGUUUAUUUGUAGUGCUUAUGUAUACAUUGUACUUGUAUAGGGACCUUUUUGGUCAAUGGUAUGUCGACGCAUGUUUUGUUUGACUCGGAUGCUACCCGGUCGUUUGUGUCUCUUGCGCUUAGCAAGAAGUUCUGGGACGCGCCAUGAACUUUGGAUUCCCCGCUCGAGGUAGAGAUUGCAGAUGACCGCACUAUGAGUGUUGCGAGGGUGUAUCAGGAUUGUGUCCUGAAUGUGCUUGGCAAGAGGUUUCGCGUUUAUCUAGUCCCGAUACCAUUGCGAGGGUUGAAGGUGAUUGUCGGGAUGGACUGGUUGGGGCCAAUGGGGCCAUGAUUGAUUGCGAGCGCCAGUUGGUGAAGGUUCGAACCCAAGUGGGGGAGAACUGGUUAUACAUGGUGAGGGGGCCUCGCAGGGGCCAACUCUCUGUUCGGCUGCGAGGGCUAGGAGAUUUCUACAGAAGGGAUGUACGGGAUUUCUGGCUUAUAUCUCAGAUACGAGGGUUGAGACCACGACGGAUGUGGGCAGUGUGUCGGUUGUACAGGAAUUUCGGGAUGUCUUUCUCGAAGAAUUACCUGGAGUGCCUCCGAAGAGGCAGGUGCAGUUUUGCAUUGAUUUGGUGUCGGGUGCCGCACCGAUAGCGAAGGCACCAUACCGGUUAGCGCCGCCCGAGAUGCAGGAGUUAUCUAUGCAACUUCAGGAGCUGCUAAACUGAGGGUUCAUCCACCCGAGCAGUUCCUCGUGGGGAGCACCGAUCCUGUUUGUAAAAAAGAAGGAUGGAUCACACAGGAUGUGCAUCGAUUACCGAGAGCUGAACAAACUAAUGGUGAGGAACUGCUAUCCGUUGCCGAGGAUCGAUGAUUUGUUCGAUCAGUUGCAGGGUGCAUAUUGGUUUUCCAAGAUUGACCUUCAGUCGGGGUACCAUCAGAUGGGGAUUCAGGAUGAGGACAUACCGGAGACAACUUUCAGGACUUGGUAUGGGCAUUACGAGUUUGUAAUGAUGUCGUUUGGGCUCACCAAUUCCCCAGCAACGUUCAUGAAUCUCAUGAACAGGGUGUGUAGACCGAUGCUGGAUCGGUCGGUGAUCAAUUUUGUUGAUGAUAUACUGGUCUAUUCUAAGACCAAGGAGCAGCAUGAGCAGCAUCUGAGAGAGGUAUUAGAGACCCUGAGGGCGGAGAGGUUUUAUGCCAAGUUCUCCAAGUGUGAUUUUUGGCUGCGAGAGGUACAGUUUUUGGGGCACAUCAUCAACCAGGAGGGCAUUUCGGUUGAUCCAUCCAAGGUUGAGACAGUGAUGCGGUGGGAAGUACCGAAGAAUGCAUAUGAGGUCCGUAGCUUCUUGGGUUUAGCGGGCUAUUAUCGGAGAUUUAUCCAGGAUUUCUCCAAGAUUGUUGUGCCCUUGACCCGCUUGACCACGAAGAAUGUGACAUUUCGUUGGGGCACGUAUCAGCAACUUUUGAGACCCUGAGACGGAGGUUAUGCGAGGCUCCGAUCCUAGUACUACCCGAGGGGUUAGACGACUUGGUGGUGUAUUGUGACACAUCGAUUUCAGGGUUAGGCGCGGUACUGAUGCAGAGGGGGCACGUGAUAGCUUACCCCUUGAGGCAGUUGAAGCCUCAUGAGGCAAAUUACCCCACUCACGACCUAGAAUUGGGGGCAGUGGUGUUCGCCCUUAAGAUUUGGAGGCACUACUUGUAAGGAGUGCGGUGCACCAUCUAUACUGAUCACAAGAGUUUGAAGUAUUUGAUGGAUCAACAUAACCUCAACAUGCGACAGAGGAGCUGGUUGGACGUGCUGAAGGAUUAUGAUUGUGAGAUCCUAUACCAUCCAGGGAAGGCGAACGUAGUGGCCGAUGCUUUGAGCCGCAAGACGGCAAGGUCCUCUAUUGGGAACAUUUGUAUGAGGAUGACGGUGAUCUCUCCAUUGUUGGAUAUGAUCAAGGAGGCCCAGGUCGAGGGAGUGAAGAAAGAGAAUUGGAAGAUAGAGCGGAUUUGGGGACAAUAUCCUUUGUUUGUUAAGGAUAACCGUGGCCUAUUGACACAAUGUGGCCGAGUGUGGGUACCAGUGACUAGAGGAGUGAGAUAGAGGAUAUUAGAGGAGGCACACAAGUCCAAGUUUUCUAUACAUCUAGGGGCUACAUAAAUGUAUAGAGACUUGAGACUGAGUUAUUGGUGGCCCUGCAUGAAGCGGGAGAUCGCCUGGUUUGUGGAGCGGUGCUUGACCUGCAGGAAGGUCGAGGCUGAGCAUCAGUGGCCUCAUGACAAGGUACAAUCGCUGCCCAUUCCCAUGUGGAAAUGGGAAGAUAUAACUAUGGACUUCAUCACGAAGUUACCGAGGAUGGCGAAAGGUGUGGACGCCAUAUGGGUGAUCGUGGACAGAUUGACGAAGAGUGCCCACUUCAUUCCAAUUUCUGAGAGUAUAUCCGCUGAGAAGUUGGCGGAUAUUUAUGUGCAAGAAGUGGUGGCUAGGCAUGGGGUGCCAGUGUCGAUAGUCUUUGACAGGGAUGUUCGGUUUACAUCUAGGUUCUAGAAUAAGUUCUAUGAGGAACUGGGCACUUAACUGCAUUUUAGCAUGGCGUACCACCCCAGACAGAUGGCCAAAGUGAGAGGACGAUUCAGACACUUGAGGAUAUGUUACGAGCUUGUGUGUUGGAUUUUGGAGGGAGUUGGGAUACGUAUCUCCCAUUGGCAUAGUUUUCGUACAAUAACAAUUACCAUGCUAGUAUCGACCGAGCUCCAUUCGAGAUGUUGUAUGGUAGGAGAUGCAGGACCCCGGUUUGUUGAAGCGAGGUUGGAUACCGGGUCAUGGGAAGCACUGAGGUAGUGCUCUAGACUACCAGACUGACGAGUCUGCAGUCGUUUCGUUGGACGACAUUCAAGUGGAUGAGAUCCUGAACUACAUCGAGAGGCUGGUUUCCAUCUUAGAUAGGAAGACUAAGGUUCUUCGGAAUAAGGAAGUGAAGUUGGUGAAGGUGCAAUGGCAGCACCGCAGGGCUCCGAGUGGACUUGGGAGCCAGAGGACGAGAUGCGAGAUCACUACCCGGAUUUGUUUGGAUCAGCAGACUUCGAGGACGAAGUCUAGUUCAAGUGGGGGAGAUUUGUAACACCUGUUCUAGGUAUUACUUGAAUUAUUUAAUUUUAGGGUUUUGGUGCUUGGACUCGGUGAGUUGGUAGCCCAACUCGACGAGUAGAGGACAUUUCGAGGACGCGGGUUCUAGGCCCUACUCGUUGAGUUGAAAGGCCAACUGGCGAGUAGGCACUGUAAAGAUAAAACCCUAAUUUUAGGGUUUGCACCCUAUAUAAUCUUCUUAAGAGCUUUGAGGCUGGCCUUCCAUCAGCCUCCAAACCCUAAGAAUGUCUGUGGUAAACCCUAAUCCCCAUCCUCUUUCAUUUUGUGAGAUAGAGUGCCUUUUGAAGCUUAAGAAGAAGGAGAUAGUGAGAAGAAGGAGAAGAUCCAACAAACCAAGCCCUCACUCUUGAGCUUGACCAUCUUGUGGACAGCUGUAAGUCUUCAAGAUUCGAUUUUUAUCUUAGAAUAUUGCUAGAUCUUGAGUUUACUCUUCAUUUCCUAUCCUUCUUGUUGAUUGCAUGCAUGGGGCUCAUAAAGUUUGCUACUUUAUGGAUCUCUAGGGAAAAAUAGUCCCAAGGUGGGCUAGAUCUAGCCUUUGGUCAAGCAAGGACGCCAUGCAAGGGUAUUUAGGGCAUAUUUCCCUCUUUUUGGCCAUUUUGACCUAAGGACAUGCAUGUCCAUAAAGCCACCAUCUUUGGAACGUUUUGAGGACUAGAAACUCUCCUGGAAAGGAGGGACUCCAGAUCCCUAGAGUUUUGGACCAUAUGGCAAAGCUUUGGAGCUUUACAACCUUUGAUAAGGGACUUAGAGCAAUUAGAACUAGGGAUGAGCAACGGGCAAAACCCGGACCAGACCGGCCCGAAGACCGAAAACCCGAAGACCGAAAAUCGUGAAUUUUCUUACCCGAAAACCGGACCGUUUUUGGAUGUACGGGUUCGGGUUUGGUCCGGUCCGGUCUCGGGUACUAAACUGGGUUUCGGGUUUUGGACCGAACUAGGCUUUGAAAAUGGUACAAUGCGGGACUUUACUUAGAUCACGUGCAAAUGAGGUGUCUACAAAAAAAUACAAACCUUAUUAACAUUUGGAACAAAUAAAAAUUACACUAUUUAGCACGAAAACUACACUUUUUAUAAAAAAAUGCAUGUUUUAACAAAAAAGAAACAACAUUGUUAAUAAAAAAAACUGCAUUUUAACAGCUUUUUUGUGUAAAAAAACAACAAAAAACAACAUUAUUUAUAAAAAACUGCAUGUUUUUAUAAAAAAUUUGUAUGUUUUUAUAAAAAAAAAAUUUGCAUGUUUGAACAAAAAAUAGCAUGCUAGAUACAUUUUUUCUUGUAAA
Molecule: long non-coding RNA, 26823 nt
Filed under: Lactuca sativa (garden lettuce)
Lineage: Eukaryota; Viridiplantae; Streptophyta; Magnoliopsida; Asterales; Asteraceae
Description: long non-coding RNA (LSAT_LNC000027)
Source: RNAcentral